Long non-coding RNA from Homo sapiens (human), 13791 nucleotides. RefSeq lists it as uncharacterized. Lineage: Eukaryota; Metazoa; Chordata; Mammalia; Primates; Hominidae. The transcript has 2 exons. The record is from RefSeq and is a predicted model, not a curated record.
GAGGCUGCGCGGGCAGGGGACCGAGGUCUGCAGGCAAACUGCGCGGCUCGACCGGCGGCAAUCGAGACCUAGACCUCGGUCAGCGCCCCGCCGCCCCUCUGCGUGCGACUUGGUGAGGCCGGUGGGUGCGCGUCGAGAGGGCCGAGGGACGAGCGGAAGAGAAGCUGCUGCGAACUCGGGCCACCCAGAUGGCCCGGCGGAGUUCCCUGCGUAAGGCGCGGCCUCGGCCACUUCGCCGAGGACCCCGGGAAGGGUCGAGCUUCCCACGCCUGAGAACCCACCUUUGGGCAUUUCCUCGCGCUGCCGGGGUGCAGACGCCGGGAGCUUCCGGGUGCCUCUCCCGCUGACCCCCGCAUCACAGUUACCUGGAGGACUCACCAAACCACAGAGAUGGGGUUUCUACAAAAAAACAGCCUGCCCAUGUUGCCCAGGCUGGUCUUGAACUCCUGGCCUCAAGUGAUCCUCCUGCCUUGGCCUCCCAAAGUGCUGGGAUUACAGGUGGGAACCAUGGUGCCUGGCCCUUUUGUCCUUUUUAAACUCAGAUUAUUAUAAUUUUUCCUAUUAAGUUGUUCAUGCUCCUUAUAUAUACUGGUUAUUAAUCCCUUGUCAGAUGGAUAGUUUGCAAAUAUUUUAUUCCCAUUCUGUGGAUUGUCUCUUUGUUGAUUGUUUCCUUUGCGGUGCAGAAGCUUUUUAUCUUGAUGUGGUCACAUUUAUCCAUAUUUGCUUUGGAUGCCUGUGCUUUCAGGGUAUUACUCAGCAACUCUUUUGCCCAGCCCAAUGUCCUGGAGAGCUUCCUCAAUGUUUUCUUUUAGUAGUUUCAUAGUUUCAGAUCUUAGAUUUAAGUCUUUAAUCCGUUUUGAUUUGAUUUGUGUGUAUGGUGAGAGAUAGAGGUCUACUUUCAUUCUUCUGCAUAUGGCUAUCCAGUUUUCCCAGCACCAUUCAUUAAACAGACCGUCCUUUCUCCAAUGUGUAUUCUUGGCACCUUUGUCGAAAAUGACUGCAGAUAUAUGGAGUUGUUUCUGGGUUCUCUAUUCUGUUCCAUUGUUUUUUUUUUUUUUUGAAAUGGAGUCAGCCUCUGUCACCCAGGCUGGAGUGCAGUGGCAAGAUCUCGGCCCACUUUUACCUCCACCUCUUGGGUUCAAGCGAUUCUUCUUCCUCAGCCUCUCAAGUAGCUGAGAUUACAAGUGCGUGCCACCAUGCCUGACUAAGUUUAGUAUUUUUAGUAGAGACAUGGUUUCACCAUGUUGGCCAGACUUGUCUCGAACUCCCGGCCUCAAGUGCCGCCUCGGCCUUCCAAAAGUGCUCAAAGUGCUGGGAAUACUGGUGUGAGCCACCAUGCCCAGCUAAUUUUUGUACUUUUAGUAGAGACAGGGUUUCACCAUGUUGGCCAAGCUGAUCUCAAACUGACAUCAAGGGAUCCACACGCCUCGGCCUCCUAAAAUGCUUGCAUUACAGGCAUGAGCCACUGUGCCUGGGCCCUCUUCCACUGGUCUUUAUGUCUGUUUUUAUGCCAAUACCAUGUCAUUUUGGUCGCUAUAGCUCUGUAGUAUAAUUUGAAGCCUGGUAAUGUGAUUCGUCCAGUUUUGUUCUUUUUACCCAGGAUAGCUUUGGCUAUUCUGAGUCUUUUGUGGUUCUAUAUAAAUUUUAGGAUUUUUUUUUCUAUUUAUGUGAAGAAUGUCAUAGGUAUUUUGAUAGAGAUUGCAUUUAAUCUGUAGAUUGCUUUGGGAAAUAUGGACGGUUUAACAAUAUGGAUACUUCCAAUCUGUGAACAUGGAAUACCUUUCCAUUUUUUUGUGUCCUCAUUAAUUUCGUAUAGUUUUCACUGUAGAGAUCUUUCACUUCUUUGGUUAAUUUCUGGGUAAUUAAUUUUAUUUCUAGGUAUUGUAAAUGGAAUUACUUCCUUGAUUUCUUUUUCAGAUUGUUCACUGUCGGCAAUAGAACUGCUACUGAUUUUUAUGUGUUGAUUUUGUAUCUGCAACUUUACUGAAUUUGUUUAUCAGAUCUAAUAGUUUUUUGGUGGAGUCUUUAGGUUUUUCCAAAGAUAAGAUCACAUCAUCUGAAAAGGAUAAUUUGACUUCUUCGUUUCCGAUUUGGAUGCCCUUUAUUUCUUUCUCUUGUCUGAUUGCUCUAGCUAGAACUUCUGGUACUAUGGUGAAUAACAGUGGUGAAAGUGGGCAUCUUUGUCAUGUCCCAGGUAUGAGAGGAAAGGCUUUAAAUUUUUCCUCAUUCAGUAUGAUACUUACUAGCUGUGGAUCUAUUGUAUAUAGAUUUUAUUAUGUUGAGUUUUAUACCCAGUUUUUUUAGGGUUUUUAUCAUCAAGGGAUGUUGAAUUUCAUCAAAUGCUUUUUCAGCAUCAAUUAAAAAGAUCAUAUGGUGUUUGUCCUUCAUUCUGUUGAUAUGAUGUAUCACAUUGUUUUGCAUAUGAUGAAUCAUUCUUGCAUCUGAGAUAAAUCCCUCUUAGUCAUGAUGAAUGAUCUUUUUAAUGUGUUUUUGAAUGCACUUUGCUAGUAUUCUGUUGAGGAUUUUUGCAUCAGUAUUCAUCAGUGAUAUUGGCCUGCAGUUAAUUUUUUAUUUUUAUGUAUUUAUUUAUUUUGAUGUGUCUACCUGGUUUUGGUAACCGGGUAAUACUGGCCUCAUAGAGUGAGUUUGCAAAUAUUCCCUCCUCUUCUGUUUUUCAGAAUAGUUUGAGUAGGAUUGGUAUUAGUUCUUCUCUAAAUGUUUGGCAGAACUCAGCAGUGAAGUCAUUGGGUCCCAGGCUUUUCUUUGCUGGAAGAUUUUUUUAUUAUGGCUUUGAUCUCAUUACUUGUUAUUGAUCUGCUCAGUUUUUGGAUUUCUUCAUGGUUAAAUUCUGGUAGGUUGUAUGUGUCUAGGAAUUUAUUCAUUUCUUCUAGAUUUUUCAAUUUAUUGGCAUAUAGUUGCUCAUAGUAGCCACUAAUGAUGCUUUGAAUUUCUGCAGUAUUAGUUAUAAUGUCUCCUUUUUUGUCUUUGAUUUUAUUUAUGUGGGUCUUCUCUCUUUUUUCCUCAGUCUGGCUAAAGGUUUGUCAAUUUUAUCUUUUCAAAAACCAACGUUUUGUUUCAUUGAUCUUGUUUAUUGUUUUCCUCGUUUCAAUUCCAUUGAUCUCUGCUCUGAUCUUUAUUAUUUCUUUUCUUCUACUAAUUUGCAGUUGGUUUGCCUUUGCUUUUCUAGUUCUUUAAAGUAAAUCAUUAGUUUAUUUGAAGUUUUUCUACUUUUUUGAUAAUAGUAUAUAGCUAUAAACUUUCCUCUUAGUACUGCUUUUGCUGUAUUCCAUAGGUUUUGGUAUAUUGAGCUUCCAUUAUCAUGUGUUUCAAAAAAAGUUCCAGUUUUCAUCUUAAUUUCUUCAUUGACUCAGUUGUCAUUCAGGAGCAUAUUGUUAAUUUCCAUGUGUUUGUAUAGUUUCAAAAAUUCCUCCUGUUAUUAAUUUCUAGUUGUAUUCCACUAUGGUCUGAGAAGAUACUUUAUAUUAUUAUACUUUACAUUUUUGAAUGUUUUAAGGAAAUGUUAUGUAAAUAUCUAUUAGGUCCAUUUGUUGUAUCAUGCAGAUUAAGUCCAACGUUUCUUUGUGGAAUUUCUGUUUGGAUGAUUCAUUCAGUGCUGAAAGUGGAGUGUUGAGAUGUCCCCAGCUGUUAUCCUAUUGGAGUCCAUCUCUCUUUAGUGCUAAUGUUUGCUUUAGAUAUCUGUUGCUCCAGUGUUGGGUGAUAUGUAUUUAAAAUUAUUAUAUCCUCUUGCUGAAUUGACCUCUUUAUCAUUAUAUAAUGAGCUUUUUUGUCUCUUUUUAUAGUUUUUGUCUUCAAAUCUAUUUUGGCUGAUAUAAGUAUAUCUAUUCCUGCUCUUUUCUGGUUUCCAUUUUCAUGGAAUAUCUUUUUGAAUCCUUUUAUUUUCAGUCUAUGUAUUUCUUUAUAAGUGAAGUAUGUUUCUAGUAGGCAACAGAUUGUUGUGUCUUGUUUUUAUCCAUUCAGCCCUGUAUGUCUUUGGAUUGGAGAUUUUAGUCCUUUUACAUUCAAUGUUACUAUUGUCAAGUAAGGUCUCACUCCUGCCAUUUUAUUGUUUUCUGGUUCCUUUGUGGUCUUCUCUUCCUUCUUUCCUUCCUUCCUGUCUUCCUUUUAGUGAAGGUGAUUUUCUCUAGUGGUAUGUUUUAAUUUCUUGCUUUUUGUUUUUUUGUGUGUCCAUUGUAUGUUUUUUGAUUUGAGAUUACCAUGAGGCUUGCAAAUAACAUCUUAUUACCCAUUAUUUUGAACUUAUGACAACUUAACACUGAUUGCAUAAACAAACAAGCAAGCAAAAAGAAAACUAAUAAAAACUCUACCCUUUAAUUCAGUCUCCCUGCUUUUUAACUUUUUCAUUUCUAUUCAUAUCUUGUUGUAUUAUCUAUGUCUUGAAAAGUUAUUGUAAUUAUUUUUUUUGACUGGAUCAUCUUUUAUUCUUUCUACAUAAGAUAUUAGUAGUUUAUACACCAUAAUUACAGUGCUAUGAUAGUCUGUGUUUUCUGUGUGCUUACUAUUACCAGUUAGUUUUGUACCUUCAAAUGAUUUCUUAUUGCUCAUUAGCAUCCUUUUCUUUCAGAUUGAAGAACUCCAUUUAGCAUUUCCUAUAAGACAGGUCUGGUGUUGAUAAAAUCCCUCAGCUUUGUUUGCCUGUGAAGGUCUUUAUUUCUUCUUCAUCUUUGAAGGAUAUUUAUGCUAGAUAUACUAUUCUAGGGUAGAAAUUUUUUUUCCUUCAGCACUUUAAAUGUGUCAUGCCACUCUCUCCUGGCCUGGAAGGUAACCACUGAAAAGUUUGCUGCCAGACAUAUGGGAGCUCCAUUGUAUGUUAUUCGUUUGUUUUCUCUUGCUACUUUUGGGAUCCUUUCCUUAUCCUUGACCUUCGGGAGUUUGAUUAUUAAAUGCUUUGAGGUAGUUCUUCUUUGGGUUAAUUCUGCUGGGUGUUCUGUAGCCUUCUUGUACUUGGAUAUUGACAUCUUUCUCUAAGUUUGGGUUUGGGAAGUUCUAUGUUAUUAUCCCUGGGUUUGGGAAGUUCUAUGUUAUUAUCCCUUUGAAUAAACUUUUUUUUUCUUUGGCAUAAAAUGCAGAUCCUGCACAACCUUUGAAUAAACUUUCUAUGCCUAUUUCUCUCUCUACCUACUCCCUAAGGCUAAUAACUCUCAGAUUUGCUCUUUUGAGGCUGUUUUCUAGAUCUUGUAGGUGUGCUUCAUUGUUUUUUAUUCUUUUUUCCUUUGUCUCCUCUGAUUGUGUAUUUUCAAAUAGCCUGUCUUCAAAGCUCACUAAUUCUGCUUGAUCAGUUCUGAUGUUAAAUGGCUCUGCUGUCUUCAGUAUGUCAGUUGCAUUUUUGAGCUCCAGAAUUUCUGCUUCAUUUCUUUUACUUAUUUUAGUCUCUGUUAUAUUUAUCUGAUAGGAUUUUGAAUUCCUUCUCUAUGUCUUCUCUGUGUUAUCUUGAAUUUCUUUGAGAUUUCUCAAAACACCUAUUUUGAAUUCUUUUUGAAAGGUCGCAAUAUGUCUGUCUUUGUGGAACAGGGAUUUUUCACUGGUGCCUCAUUUAGUUCAUUUGAUGAGGUCAUGUUUUCCUGGGUGGUCUUGAUGCUUGUGGAUGUUUGUCAGUGUCUGGACAUUGAAGAGUUAGGUAUUUAUUGUAGUCUUUGCAGUCUGGGCUUGUUUGUACUCACGCUUCUUGGGAAGACUUUUCAGUUAUUCAGAAGCACUUGAGUAUUGUGAUCUAAUUUUUUUUCCCACCGCAGCUGUAUCUGGAUUAGGGGGCGUUCCAAGCCCAGUAACACUAUGGGCUCUUGCAGACUCAAAGAGAUACUGCCUUGGUGAUCUUGGGUAAGAUCCGGUAGAAUUAUCUGGAUUGCCAGGCAGAGCCUCUUGUUCUCUUCCCUCACUUUCUCCUAAACAAAUGGAGUCUUUCUCUCUCCACUGAGCUGCCUAGAGCUGCAGGAGGUGUUGCACAAGCUCCUCUGUGGCUACUACCACUGUUACUGCACUGGGUGAGACCUAAAGCCAGCAUAGCACUGGGUCUCGUCCAUGGCCCACGGUAACCACUGCCUGGCUACCACUUGGGUUCACUCAAGGUCCUAGGCCUCUACAGUCAGCAGGUGGCAAAGCCAGCUAGGCUGUAUCCUUCCCUUCAGGGUAGAAAGAUCCCCCUGGUCCUGGGGGCAUUCAGAGAUGCCAUGUAGGAGCCAGAGCCUGGAGCUGGAAACCUUAGGAGUCUACCUGGUACUCUAUUCUACUGUGGCUGAGCUGGCACCCAAGCCACCAGACAAAGUUCUUCCCAUUCUCCCCUUCCCUUUGCACAAGCAUAGGAGUCUCUUCCCAUGGCCACCACCACCCCAGGCAUGCAGCAAGUACUGUCUGGCUACCUGCUGUUAUUCGUUCAAGGCCCAAGGGCUCUUCAGUCAAUUUGGUAAAUGCUGCCAUGCCUGGGACUUUUUCAUCAGGGCACUGGACUUUUCUCUGGCGCAAGGUAGGUCCAGAAAUGCCAUCUAAGAGACAAGGCCUGGAAUCUGGGACCCCUGAGAGCCCACAUGAUGCUCUACCCCACUGUGGCUGAGCUGGUACCUAAGCUGCAAGACAGAGUUCCUUUAUUCUUCUUUCUGCUUUUCUCAAGCAAUAGUCUAUCCUUGUAGCCACCACACCUGGAAAUAUGCUUGGUCACACUUGAAGCUAGUACAGCACUGGGUCUCACCCAAGGCCAACAGCAAGUACUGCCUGGUUACCACUGCAGAUUUUUCAGGGCCCAAGGGUUCUUUAGUCAGCAGGUGAUGAAUCCUGCCAAGACUGGGUCUUUCCCCUCAAGGCAGCAGGUUCCCUUCUGGCCUACGGUAUGUCUAGAAAUGUCAUCCUGGAGCUAGAGCUUGGAAUGGGGGCCUCAGGACUCUGCCUGAUGCCUGUCCUAUUGCUAUUGUGGCUGAGCUUGUAUCCGAGAUGCAAGACAAUGUCCUCUUUAUUAUUCCCUCUCCUUUCCUCAAGCAGAAGGAAGGUGUCUCUUUGGAGCUCUGCUGCCUGGGGUUACGGGAAGGGGUGGUGCAAGCACUCUAAUUGGCUACCCUAGCUGGUGUCUCACUAGGUCACAUGCCCCCCAUGUCCACUGACUCCAAACCCAGCACAGCACCAGGACUUGCCCAGGAAUGGCAGUCCUUAUGGCCUAGACCACCUUUCAGCUCUAUUUAGGACCGCAGAGCACUUUAGCCCGUGGUAUGAGGUCUGCCAGAAUGCAUUCUGAGCACUGGGGUGGGCGAGUCCCCUCUGGCUAGGGCAGGUCCAGAUGAUCCCUUCAUGGGUGCUGCCUGAGUUCUGCCUGGUGGUGGUUUCCACUGUUACAGGGCAGCACUGAGUUCCCAUGCCAGUUUCCACAAUCACUGCACUCUUCCUCCUCCAAGUGCACGGGUUCUGUCUCGGCACCAUUGGGCCACUGCCAGGGAAUGGGGAAGGGGUUGUGUUGGCAAUGCAAGACUAUUUUUCCUACCCUUUUCAGGGCCUCUUUCAGUGAUAUGAAGUUCAAAACACAUACUGUGAUCACUCACAUGGUUUUUGUUUCUCAUGAAAGUACUUUUCUGUAUGGCAAGUUGUUCAAUUUGGUGUUCCUGCAGGAAGAAGGAUUGGUGGAGGCUUCUAUUUGGCCAUCUUGCUCUGCCUCCUCCCCAAUCCAGAUAAUUUAAAUAAUAUCUGACACUUACAGAAUGUUUACAAGAUCUUUGUAUAAAUUGUUCUUUUAUGUCUUUGUUUUCAUUUUGAGUGUUGUUGCAGUAUUUUCAGGUUAAAUAAUAAAGCAGGCAUAUCAAAUUUUAGCCUUAAUCUUAGCUUUGCAUUUAACCUUGUGAACUUGUUGUCGUGGUUUGCACUUCAUGAUGACUUGUGAUUAAAGCAGGCCACAAUGACUGCAUAGAGGAUUAUUCUUACAGCAAAUGGGUUAUAUCAAUAUUUUCAUAUUUUUAUUUUGAAGUUGUAGGUGGGGUCUUAUUUAAAUAUAAAACCCAGAGUUGGUGAGAUUGUAGAGAAACAACUCAGAUCCUGUUGGUGAGAGUGCAAAUUGGUAUAUAAGCUAAAACUCCCAAUACCUACAUGAUAGGAACUCAGUCCUCCUUUCAGUGCCCACAGUAGUAUAUUUACAGUAGGGCUUAUCUCACACACGUAACCGUGCCAGUUCAUGGUACCUUCUCAGUCUCCAGUGUCACCUGUUGUAAAAUCCUUACUGAACAACACUUCUUACUGAUAUAUAAUGUACCAGCAUUUUAUACAUUAAAUUAUAACAUAGUAGCUAAGAGAAUUGUCUGUGUUGGAAUCUUUACUGUACUAGCCAUGUGAUCUUGGUUAAGUUACUUAGCACCUCUGAGCAUCAAUUCCUCAUCUGUAAAAUGAGGAUAAUUGAAUUUAUCUCAUUGGUUGUAAAGAUUAAAUAAGAAAACAUUUAUAAAACAUCAUAGUGCCUGGCUCAUGUUAAUCACUAAAUAAAGGUUUUUACAAUUAUCAAUAUUGUAAAAUAUUUUUACAUUUUCUAAAAGCAAAAUUCUGGAAGUAUGUGCUGUGCACUAAACUGUGUCUACCUCAAAAUUCUGAUGUUGACGCCCUAGUCCCCAGUGUUGACUGUAUUGCAGAUGGGACCUAUAAGGCAAUAAUUAAGGUUAAAUGAGGCUAUAAGUGUGGGGUCCUAAUCUGAUAGGGUUGGUACCAUAUAGGAAGAUGAAGAAACACCAGAGCUCACUCUCUCUCACUCUCCAAGAAAUCGACAAAAUGGGAACAGAGUAUUCACCAGGAGGCAAACUGGGGGGCAAUCAACCAAUCCUUGAUCUUGGAUUUCCCAGCCUCGAGAACUGUGAGAAAAUAGAUUCCUGUUGUUUAAGCCGCACGGUUUAGGGUAUUUUGUUAUGGCAGCCUGAGGUGACUAAAAUAGUAUGUUUAUGCAUUUUUCAAAAGCAAAUAAAUAAUUCUAAUGUAAACUAUUCAGGAUAAACUGUUGUAUUUCAUAAAUUCGCAAAUCUGUCAUUGGCCCUGUUGUAAAAGGCCAUAAUUUGACAAUGUAAGACUCAGGGGGUUCUAGUAAACAUAGUAUCUGACACUUUCAGAAUGUUUAUAAGUAGCAUACAUAAAUUUUUGCUUGAGGUCUUCAUUUUCAUUUUGAGUGUUCUUGCAGUAUUUGCAGAUCAAAUGGUAAAGUGGGUAUAUCAAAUUUUAGGCUUAACCUGGUUACAUUCAUAUAUUUCUCCUUUAUUAACCUGAAGCUCUGGGAAGCUCAUAUGCCUUUCAGAUUUAUAAUCCUCAAGCCCACUGAUACUUUUUUUUUUUUUUUUGAUGGAGUCUUGCUCUGUCACCCAGGCUGGAGUGCAGUGGCGCGAUCUUGGCUCACUGCUAGCUCUGCCUCGCGGGUUCACGCCAUUCUCCUGCCUCAGCCUCCCGAGUAGCUGGGACUACAGGCACCGGCCACCACGCCCGGCUAAUUUUUUGUAUUUUUAGUAGAGACAGGGUUUCCCCGUGUUAGCCAGGAUAGUCUCAAUCUCCUGACCUCGUGAUCUGCCCACCUCGGCCUCCCAAAGUGCUCAUUGAUACUUUUUGGUACAGUAUUCCGUUUAGCUGUCAGCUUGGAAUUCUCAUCAGUUAAAUUAUCUGUCUAGAUGGCAAAUAGUAGGAAUGCUUCCCUGAGUACAUACAAAAUUGAGGUAGGGGCUGUGCUGGGAACUUAAAUGAGCUUUGCCCCUAGAGUUUGGUCUCAGAGGACAGAAAGAAAAAUACCAAGGAGGCUUCUUGCUGAAAAGUACAAUUUAUUUUUGUGACUAUUGUAGCAGUCAGGUUCAGUUACAGAGAAUAGAAUUCAUAGAAAUCAUUCUAUGUGCUCUAUAAUUUAAAGAUAAAAAGAAUUUCUCAACAAGUAUUACAUAUUCUGCUGAAUCAUAGGAGGGCUGAAGAAACAUAGAACUCUGAGAAAAAUUCCUAGAGUCACACUAUAAGAGCAAGCCACCAAAGAAGCUGCUGCCUGUCUCUGAACAAAAAGCUGCCUACAAAAUCAGAAAACUGCAGCUACAGCUGCUGACUCCAGAAUUAUACUGGACAUGCAACAUUUUAAUUUUUUAUUGUCUGUGUCCCUCUACUACAAAGUCAGUUCAAGAAGUCAGGAAUUUUUUUCUUUGUUCACUGUUAUAUACACAGCACUGAGAAUGAAUCUUGACUUGUAGUAGGAAUGAAUACUCACAGUCAUAGGUAGCACUCACCCACUAAACCCAGCUGGGCUGAUAUUGGGUAAACCUUUUAACUAAGUGGAAAGAAUAAACAUGAGUCAUGAGAGAUUUAUUUCUCUGUCUCAUAGUCUGUAAGGUCAGUUGGUAGGCUCAAUUUGCAUUACUACAAGAUUAAAGAAAAGAGGAAAAGUAGAGAACAACAGAGAAAGAAAAGAUAAAUCCUAAGAAUUUACAUUUUCAACAUCAGAAUAGUAGAAGUUCCUGAAAGUUAGAGAAGAGAAAGUGGUUGGAUGAAACUUGCUUAAUAAGAAAAAAAUUUCAGAACUAAAGGGAAACAUGAUUCUGCAAAUGUAGAAGACCUACUGAGUACUGAACAGAAAAAAGAAAAAUAUGUAUAUACAUAGAUAUAUCAUGAAAUUUAAGGAUAGCAAGAAUGAAGAGGAUUCUAAAAGCUUCUAGGAAGAAAGUUCAAGUACUCCAUAAAGGAAUGAGAAUCAGGCUGGCAACAAACUUUUGAGUGAGUGUUAAGAUACAAGAAACCCUAAAAGUUCCUAGGAGAAAUGACUUUAAACUUAGAAUUCCUUUUUUUAAUUUGGUCCACACAGGGUCUCACUUUGUUGCCCAGGCUGCUGUACAAUGGCCCAGUCAUGGCUCACUAAAGCCUUGACCUCCUAGGCUUAAGUGAUCCUCCCUCUCUGCCUUCUGAGUAGCUGGGACUACAGGCGUAAGCCACCAUGCCAGCUAAUUUUUUUUAUUUUUUAUAGAGACAGGGCUGGGUGCGGUGGCUCACACCUGUAAUCCCAGCACUUUGAAAGGCCAAGGCAGGUGGAUCACCUGAGGUCAGGAGUUCGAGACCAGCCUGGCCAACGUGGUGAAACCCCGUCUCUAAUAAAAAUAUAAAAAUUAGCUGAGCAUGGUGGCGGGCACCUGUAAUCCCAGCUACUUGGGAGGCUGAGGCAGGAGAAUCCCUUGAACCCAGGAGACGGAGGUUGCAGUGAGCCGUGAUCACGCCAUUUCACUCUAGCCUGGGAGACACGAACAAAACUCCCCCUAAAAAAAAAAAAUUGGUUAGAGACAGGGUCUCGCUGUGUUGCGGAGGCUGGUCUUGAGCUCUUGGGUUCAAGCCAUCCUCCCUCGUCAGCCUCCCAAAAUAUUGAGAUUUGAGAUUACAGGUGUGAGCCACCACGCCUCCUGAACUUGGAAUUCUAUACCAUGCCAAACUAUUGAUAAAAUAAUGUGGGCAGAAUGAAAAAGAAAAUGAAACCCAAACUUUUGAGAAAGCUUUGCCUCACUAAUAUUCUUUUUUAGGAUGUUUCUUGAGAAUACAGGCCAAGAAAACAAGGGACUUGUUGAAGGAAAUGAAGUGGAUUGGGUCUGUGAAACAGUGGAACAAAUUCAGAAAUGCAGUGAACGCAAGUUCCAGGAUAGUUAUGCAACAGGAAGCCUGUCUAUCCAGAUUGAAAGACUUCAGGACUGUAAGAACUGCCUGUAGAAAAAAAGGAGUUCCUGGAUUUGCUAGUAUUCUGGAAAUGUUGGAAGAAUCUAGUCUAAUGAUGCCAUAAAGGAAGACAAUUCAAGACAAAGUAAAAAGGCAAUUUAUAAUUUAAUUGAGUAGGGUAUAUGACAAAAAGCUGUACCAAAAAACAAAUAGAGACAUAGAAGGUAACUUUCAUGGACAGUGAAUACUGUUUACACAGAUGUAGCAUAAAUAGCCUUUACUGAUUUUCAAAAAUACAGUCCACCUGUAGGCAAAGCAAGAAUUGCUUAACUAUAGUUACAAAACAGGUUGUAAAUGUGAAGCAUGAUAGUGUAAUAAAGGAACCAAAGAUGAAGACAAGGGUAAGGGAUACAAAAUUCUUAUCUGGCAAAGUGAAGAGGGAUUGUUUAUAUUGAAGCAAGAACUGUGAGUUACAUUAUUUAAAGUUGCAAAUGUAAUAAGUGCAAUGCUGACUAGUGAUAUAAUUUAUUAGCUGUUAUGAGUAGGGAAAAUUUGUGGUGGUUUAAUGUAGUUAAAUCUUCAUCUAUCUUGGCAGGAAGUGAGUAUGCAACAUCUAAGAUUGAGACAUCAAAAAUUCACAGCAUGAGCAGAUUGUUUACAGAUGGGGUAACUAAAAACAAUGAGGUAAAUGUGGUUGCCUCUGGGAAAAACACUGGAGGCAUUGGAAAGGGUUGGGUUGGGGGCCUGUUGUUUUUUGCAUUCGCCCCCUUGAGUUCAUUUGUUCUUUCAUCUAACAGACACUUACUGUUUGCCAAACACAUGUAAAUGAAACGACUUUACUGAAGAUUUGAGGACGUGAGAUAUUUUCUGUCACCACAGUGCCAGAUUUAAAAUUGAAUAUUAGAGAAACUUGUUCUUAAAACUUUUUGCUAGGCACUUUAUGCCAACCAUGUUGCUACCCUCUUCUCUCCGUUCCUCUUACAUUCUCAUUCUCUAACAACUUUUUCAGUCGUCUCACACCCAUACACAGUCUUGUUUGUUGGUGUUAUGGGGAACUCACAAAUGGAGCCAUAAAGAAGAAAUAUGACCUCUCCUGUGUUUCACCUCCAGUGGGGUUGACGGGAGGUCCCAGGAUUUCUGUGAAGGGGAUUUGUAGUUUUGGAGUUCCAGAUGGUGACAACUCGAGCAGCAAGCCUGAUGAGCAUAUUGAGCAGACUACUAAGAACAGGAAUGAAAAACAAACAAACGAACAACAACAACAAAAAAAACACCCUUCUCUUUCCCACCUGUACCAGAAUAGUGGCUCUGAACCAUGGCUGCAUAUUAGAAUCACCCAAGGAGCUUUUAAAAACAUCGAUGCCCAGGCACCACCUCUUCCCCUUUUGAUGCUCUUCCUUCCAACUCCCACCACUACCAAAUAAAUUGAAAAUGUAGUGAAGGGACCUCAGUCCCAUGAUUCAAAUCAUUAAUAUAAAAGUCACCUGCAAUUUCUGCACAAUUGAUUGAAUUGGGCAAAACAGAUUAGAGCAUUGAACCACUUUGUCGACGAUUUUCAACCUGAUAUUCUAAGGAAGAGAACUUGCUCAGAAUUUUGCAUUGGCUGUUCCUUCUGCCUGGGACACUUUCCCUUCCUAUAUGCAUAGCUUACUACCUCACCUCCUCAAUGAGACUGACCUGCCCGCCAGGCGCCAAAAUGGCACUCCCAAGCUCACUCUGCUCUACUUUCUUUUUAUCGUAGCACUUAUCAGUGUCUAACGUAGAAUUUGCCCACUUCUUGUACCUAUUGUGUAAUGUUUGUUUCCACCCACUAGAAUGUAAACAAAUAUGAUCAGGUAUUUUUCAUUUCAUUCACUGAUGAAACUUAAGUAUCUAGAACAAUACCGAACAUGACUGAGCACUCAAUAAAUACUCGUUGAAUUUCAGUGGCCUCUCAAAUAGCAUUUAACUCAUUAUCUCCAUAAAAGAUAAGUGUUAACCCAUGUUAUGUAAUAUGUUUGGAAUGUGCUAGCAUUACACGCUUGCAUAAAGUUUUUUGAAGAAUUAUAUACCUCACCAGGCAAAUAUUCUGUACCCCUAUGAAGCCUGCUGGAUAUCUGGGCUGUCAGUCAGAAGAUCUGGGCUAUAAUCUCAUGUUGUCUGUUAAAUAAAUAUGUAAUAUUGAUCAAAGUA